UUAGACAUCCGAUACGUAUUAAUUAUCUAUAUUUUACCCAUGCUUGUUAAGAAGAUGAUCUUCAAUUCCUAAUGUUCUUGGCUUCCAAAGCUUGCCAACUGAACAUCAUUUAUUGGCAACCAUUUAACUUCAUUUUGCUGGCUUUGUGCUGCUAUUGUUGUUGUUAAUUCAUUGUUUUAGUUGUUUUGCUUUCAAAAUUCAUGACAGUAUGAGGAACACGGAGAGAAUUUUGUGGACAUGUUAGAUGAGAUUUUCUCAUUUGUGCUUUUGGAUACAAGAGACAACAGAUUCAUUGUUGCCAGAGAUGUCUAAGAGAUGUCUUAGGUGUCACAUCCCUCUACAUUGGAUGGAGUCUUAAUGGUUCUGUUUGGAUAUCAUCAGAAAUGAAAAGUAUUUAUUGAUUGAUUGAUGAUUGUGAACAUUUUGAGACCUUUCCACAUGGACAUCUCUAUUUGAGCAAAGCAGAAGGAUUUAAGAGAUGGUACAACCAUUCGUGGUACUCAGAGUCCAUUCCUUCUGCUCCUUAUGAUCCGCAGGUGGAUGCAAUUGACUUCUAUGCAGAGAAGAUCAAAGAACUUGAUAAAAAAAGCAACAGGAUUAAUUAAGGAUCGUGCAUGAUAAGUUCAAAGAAGAUGUCAAUCAGCACCUCUUGGACUACAAGAAUAUCAUCGAGGAGUUCCAAACUAAUCAAAUGGAGCUUAAAACAAACUUGGAGAGACAAAGUAGGCGAAAUUACAUUUUGUUGUUCAAUUUGAUCUAUAAAAGAAUCUCAUGCUCUCAGUAAUUCUAAGGUUUUGCUAGUAAUUUCCUUUUCGCUAAGUUAGGGAUCUAGCAUGUCCUUCAACUGACUACAAUAGCCUUGAAGCUUCGAGGCUCUAGUGGUCUUUCUCCACAUUAGUCUGGUAAAAGGAUACAUUGUAUUCUAUUCGGUUUUUGUUGGUAAAACGCCAUUAACUUUGUUGAUUUCUUUUGGUUCUUUUGUACUCAUAAGUAUCGCACAAAAAGCUUCUUCUGUAAGUUGAAGAUC
Dioscorea cayenensis subsp. rotundata (Guinea yam) is the source of this 1027-nucleotide long non-coding RNA. RefSeq lists it as uncharacterized. NCBI's taxonomy places the organism in Eukaryota, Viridiplantae, Streptophyta, Magnoliopsida, Dioscoreales, Dioscoreaceae. The transcript has 4 exons. The record is from RefSeq and is a predicted model, not a curated record.